This 497-nucleotide ribosomal RNA is filed under the name uncultured bacterium. RNAcentral's name for it is "partial 16S ribosomal RNA". It matches the Rfam family "Bacterial small subunit ribosomal RNA", at positions 28 to 507 of the family's 1533-position model. The record is from RNAcentral.
GACGAACGCUGGCGGCGUGCCUAAUACAUGCAAGUUGAGCGCUGAAGGUUGGUACUUGUCCCAACUGGCUGAGCAGCGAACGGGUGAGUAACGCGUGGGGAAUCUGCCUUUGAGCGGGGGACAACAUUUGGAAACGAAUGCUAAUACCGCAUAAAAACUUUAAACGCAAGUUUUAAGUUUGAAAGAUGCAAUUGCAUCACUCAAAGAUGAUCCCGCGUUGUAUUAGCUAGUUGGUGAGGUAAAGGCUCACCAAGGCGAUGAUACAUAGCCGACCUGAGAGGGUGAUCGGCCACAUUGGGACUGAGACACGGCCCAAACUCCUACGGGAGGCAGCAGUAGGGAAUCUUCGGCAAUGGACGAAAGUCUGACCGAGCAACGCCGCGUGAGUGAAGAAGGGUGUCGGAUCGUAAAACUCUGUUGGUAGAGAAGAACGUUGGUGAGAGUGGAAAGCUCAUCGAGUGACGGUAACUACCCAGAAAGGGACGGCUAACUACGUG